This 442-nucleotide ribosomal RNA is filed under the name uncultured bacterium. Its description in RNAcentral is "partial 16S ribosomal RNA". It matches the Rfam family "Bacterial small subunit ribosomal RNA", at positions 338 to 795 of the family's 1533-position model. The record is from RNAcentral.
CCUACGGGAGGCAGCAGUGGGGAAUAUUGGGCAAUGGACGCAAGUCUGACCCAGCAACGCCGCGUGAAGGAAGAAGGCUUUCGGGUUGUAAACUUCUUUUAAGGGGGAAGAGCAGAAGACGGUACCCCUUGAAUAAGCCACGGCUAACUACGUGCCAGCAGCCGCGGUAAUACGUAGGUGGCAAGCGUUGUCCGGAUUUACUGGGUGUAAAGGGUGCGUAGGCGGCUUGGCAAGUCAGUAGUGAAAUCCAUGGGCUUAACCCAUGAACUGCUAUUGAAACUGUCGAGCUUGAGUGAAGUAGAGGUAGGCGGAAUUCCCGGUGUAGCGGUGAAAUGCGUAGAGAUCGGGAGGAACACCAGUGGCGAAGGCGGCCUACUGGGCUUUAACUGACGCUGAGGCACGAAAGCGUGGGUAGCAAACAGGAUUAGAUACCCCUGUAGUC